Non-coding RNA from Chelonoidis abingdonii (Abingdon island giant tortoise), 416 nucleotides. The record is from the annotation of a RefSeq genome assembly. NCBI's taxonomy places the organism in Eukaryota, Metazoa, Chordata, Testudines, Testudinidae.
CCAGCAGACAAAGGGUUACUGCUUUGCAGCCCACCGGGUUGUUGUGGAGAAGGAAAAUGAUCUGUCUGGGGUUUUUCUUCUUUUUGGCGGCUUUCUCAGGUGUCAGCUCCCAAAUCCAGCUGACUCAGUCCGGGGCAGAAAUCAAAAAGCCUGGAGAGUCUGCGAAGGUGACGUGUAAAACCUCUGGCUACACCUUUACCAGCUACUACAUUAGCUGGGUGCGGCAGGCUCCUGGGAAAGGACUGGAGUGGAUUGGAUAUAUUAAUCCCAGUAGUGGUAGCACUGGCUAUGCCCAGGCUUUCCAGGGGCGAUUCACCAUCACCAGGGACACCUCCAUAAGCACGGCCUAUCUGCAGCUGGGCAGCCUGAGAACCGAGGACACGGCCACGUAUUACUGUGCUAGAUACACACAGUGA